CAUGGCUCAGGACGAACGCUGGCGGCGUGCUUAACACAUGCAAGUCGAACGUGAUUUUUGUGGAAGGACCUUCGGGGACGGAAACAGAAUGAAAGUGGCGAACGGGUGAGUAACACGUGAGCAACCUACCUUACACAGGGAGAUAGCCGUUGGAAACGACGAUUAAUACCGCAUGAGACCACAGUACCGCAUGGUAUAGGGGUCAAAGAUUUAUCGGUGUAAGAUGGGCUCGCGUCUGAUUAGCUAGUUGGAAGGGUAAAGGCCUACCAAGGCGACGAUCAGUAGCCGGUCUGAGAGGAUGAACGGCCACAUUGGAACUGAGACACGGUCCAAACUCCUACGG
RNAcentral lists this ribosomal RNA (343 nucleotides) under uncultured bacterium. RNAcentral's name for it is "bacterial SSU rRNA". It matches the Rfam family "Bacterial small subunit ribosomal RNA", at positions 18 to 344 of the family's 1533-position model. The record is from RNAcentral.